This 505-nucleotide ribosomal RNA is filed under the name uncultured bacterium. RNAcentral describes it as "partial 16S ribosomal RNA". It matches the Rfam family "Bacterial small subunit ribosomal RNA", at positions 28 to 507 of the family's 1533-position model. The record is from RNAcentral.
GACGAACGCUGGCGGCGUGCCUAAUACAUGCAAGUCGAACGCACAGUCUAUACCGUAGCUUGCUGCACGAUAGACUGUGAGGUGCGAACGGGUGAGUUACCCGGAGCUAACCUGCCUGGUAGCGGGGGGUAACUAGUGGUAACGAUAGCUAAUACCUCAUGAUACUGAUUAUUGCAUGGUAAUUGACGGAAGUAUGCUAUUGCAUCGCUACCUGAUGGCCUUGCGGUGUAGUAGUUAGUAGGCGAGGUAACGGCUCACCUAGGCGACGAUACAGUGCCGACCUGAGAGGGUGGUUGGCCGCCCUGGGACUGGGACCCGGCCCAGACUCCCACAGGAGGCAGCCGUAGGGAAACUUCGGGAAUGGGCGGAAAUCUGACCGAACAACGCCGCGUGAGGGAAGAAGGUUUUCGGGUCGUAAAGCUCUGUUGUCAGGGAAGAACGGGUGUGAGAGUGGAAAGUUCACAGUGUGACGGUAACUUACCAGAAAGCGACGGCUAACUACGUG